UUUUAUGAGAGUUUGAUCCUGGCUCAGGACGAACGCUGGCGGCGUGCCUAAUACAUGCAAGUCGAACGCUUCUUUUUCCAACGGAGCUUGCUCCACCGGAAAAAGAAGAGUGGCGAACGGGUGAGUAACACGUGGGUAACCUGCCCAUCAGAAGGGGAUAACACUUGGAAACAGGUGCUAAUACCGUAUAACAAUCAAAACCGCAUGGUUUUGAUUUGAAAGGCGCUUUCGGGUGUCGCUGAUGGAUGGACCCGCGGUGCAUUAGCUAGUUGGUGAGGUAACGGCUCACCAAGGCCACGAUGCAUAGCCGACCUGAGAGGGUGAUCGGCCACAUUGGGAC
Molecule: ribosomal RNA, 340 nt
Filed under: Enterococcus faecium
Lineage: Bacteria; Bacillati; Bacillota; Bacilli; Lactobacillales; Enterococcaceae
Description: bacterial SSU rRNA
Rfam family: Bacterial small subunit ribosomal RNA
Source: RNAcentral